This 411-nucleotide ribosomal RNA is filed under the name Acidimicrobiaceae bacterium. RNAcentral describes it as "bacterial SSU rRNA". It matches the Rfam family "Bacterial small subunit ribosomal RNA", at positions 1 to 409 of the family's 1533-position model. The record is from RNAcentral. Lineage: Bacteria; Bacillati; Actinomycetota; Acidimicrobiia; Acidimicrobiales; Acidimicrobiaceae.
UUGACGGAGAGUUUGAUCCUGGCUCAGGACGAACGCUGGCGGCGUGCUUAAUACAUGCAAGUCGAACGAUCCCGGGACUUCGGUCCCAAUGGGAGAGUGGCGAACGGGUGCGUAACACGUGAGAAACCUGUCCCGAAGAUGGGAAUAGCCCAGGGAAACCUGGAUUAAUGCCCAAUACCCUGAGAGCGCCGCAUGGCGCAUUCAGGAAAGGUUCCGGCGCUUUGGGAGGGUCUCGCGGCCUAUCAGCUUGUUGGUGAGGUAAAGGCUCACCAAGGCAUCGACGGGUAGCUGGUCUGAGAGGACGAUCAGCCACACUGGGACUGAGACACGGCCCAGACUCCUACGGGAGGCAGCAGUAGGGAAUCUUGCGCAAUGGGCGAAAGCCUGACGCAGCCACGCCGCGUGAGGGAU